This 874-nucleotide long non-coding RNA is filed under the name Homo sapiens (human). RNAcentral describes it as "non-protein coding lnc-MKRN1-5:1". Lineage: Eukaryota; Metazoa; Chordata; Mammalia; Primates; Hominidae. The record is from RNAcentral.
AAUAAAAGCAAAAAAAAAAACUAGUUAUUUCUUUCUUUUCUUUUCUUUUUUGUUUUUUUGAGACGGAGUUUCGCUCUUGUUGCCCAGGCUGGAGUGCAAUGGUGCAAUCUCUGCUCACCACAACCUCCGCCUCCUGGGUUCAAGCAAUUCUUGUGCCUCAGCCUCUUGAGUAGCUGGGAUUACAGGCAUGUGCCACCAUGCCUGGCUAAUUUUGUAUUUUUAGUAGAGACAGGGUUUCUCCAUGUUGGUCAGGCUGGUCUCGAACUCCCGAUAUCAGGUGAUCUGCCCUCCUUGCCCUCCCAAAGUGUUGGGAUUACAGGCGUGAGCCACUGUGCCCGGCUAUACUAGUUAUUUCUAAAUACAUUUGAAGUAAAAGUUGUUCUUGAGCAUUACUGGUGCUUUGGAAGUGUUUGUGAAGGGGCUUUGGGAAACAGAAAGCCCUGGCAGAUUCUACAGGGACUGACCUGUUCCUGCUGUCUUACUGUAGAUCUGGAGCAGCAACCAUUUGUUCCCCAGUGCAGAGAAAGCGACUCUUUUCCUCGGCACACUGGAUACCAUUUUCCUCUUCUCCUAUGCUGUGGUAAGUUUUGGAACUCUAGGGCUUAAAGCUAAAGAAAAAUGUAAAUAUAAAUGACCCUGAGCCUUACAAAAUUUGUAAGGGAUUUUGAAUUUGCUGACUGAGGCAGAGUUCAGUAUUUCUGAAGUUUAUAUUGUUUGUUCUUCCCAUUCAUUUAUUCAUUCAUUCGACAGAUAUUUAUUGCUCAUCUAGCAUAUGUCAAUGGGAAUUUAUCCCGAACAACACAAAAUGCCCUGCCUUUAUGGACCUGUAUUCUUGGAGUUAGGGGAGACAGACAGUAACCAAAUGCUACAAAUA